AUAGGGGAGCCGUAGGGAAACCGAGUCUUAACCGGGCGUUAAGUUGCAGGGUAUAGACCCGAAACCCGGUGAUCUAGCCAUGGGCAGGUUGAAGGUUGGGUAACACUAACUGGAGGACCGAACCGACUAAUGUUGAAAAAUUAGCGGAUGACCUGUGGCUGGGGGUGAAAGGCCAAUCAAACCGGGAGAUAGCUGGUUCUCCCCGAAAGCUAUUUAGGUAGCGCCUCGUGAAUUCAUCUCCGGGGGUAGAGCACUGUUUCGGCUAGGGGGCCAUCCCGGCUUACCAACCCGAUGCAAACUGCGAAUACCGGAGAAUGUUAUCACGGGAGACACACGGCGGGUGCUAACGUCCGUCGUGAAGAGGGAAACAACCCAGACCGCCAGCUAAGGUCCCAAAGUCAUGGUUAAGUGGGAAACGAUGUGGGAAGGCCCAGACAGCCAGGAUGUUGGCUUAGAAGCAGCCAUCAUUUAAAGAAAGCGUAAUAGCUCACUGGUCGAGUCGGCCUGCGCGGAAGAUGUAACGGGGCUAAACCAUGCACCGAAGCUGCGGCAGCGACGCUGAUGCGUUGUUGGGUAGGGGAGCGUUCUGUAAGCCUGUGAAGGUGGCCUGUGAGGGUUGCUGGAGGUAUCAGAAGUGCGAAUGCUGACAUAAGUAACGAUAAAGCGGGUGAAAAGCCCGCUCGCCGGAAGACCAAGGGUUCCUGUCCAACGUUAAUCGGGGCAGGGUGAGUCGACCCCUAAGGCGAGGCCGAAAGGCGUAGUCGAUGGGAAACGGGUUAAUAUUCCCGUACUUGGUGUUACUGCGAAGGGGGGACGGAGAAGGCUAUGUUGGCCGGGCGACGGUUGUCCCGGUUUAAGCGUGUAGGUGUGUGUUCCAGGUAAAUCCGGUUCACUUUAACACUGAGGCGUGAUGACGAGGCACUACGGUGCUGAAGCAACAAAUGCCCUGCUUCCAGGAAAAGCCUCUAAGCAUCAGGUAACAUCAAAUCGUACCCCAAACCGACACAGGUGGUCAGGUAGAGAAUACCAAGGCGCUUGAGAGAACUCGGGUGAAGGAACUAGGCAAAAUGGUGCCGUAACUUCGGGAGAAGGCACGCUGACACGUAGGUGAAGUGAUUUACUCAUGGAGCUGAAGUCAGUCGAAGAUACCAGCUGGCUGCAACUGUUUAUUAAAAACACAGCACUGUGCAAACACGAAAGUGGACGUAUACGGUGUGACGCCUGCCCGGUGCCGGAAGGUUAAUUGAUGGGGUCAGCGCAAGCGAAGCUCCUGAUCGAAGCCCCGGUAAACGGCGGCCGUAACUAUAACGGUCCUAAGGUAGCGAAAUUCCUUGUCGGGUAAGUUCCGACCUGCACGAAUGGCGUAAUGAUGGCCAGGCUGUCUCCACCCGAGACUCAGUGAAAUUGAACUCGCUGUGAAGAUGCAGUGUACCCGCGGCAAGACGGAAAGACCCCGUGAACCUUUACUAUAGCUUGACACUGAACAUUGAGCCUUGAUGUGUAGGAUAGGUGGGAGGCUUUGAAGCGUGGACGCCAGUCUGCAUGGAGCCGGCCUUGAAAUACCACCCUUUAAUGUUUGAUGUUCUAACGUGGACCCGUGAUCCGGGUUGCGGACAGUGUCUGGUGGGUAGUUUGACUGGGGCGGUCUCCUCCUAAAGAGUAACGGAGGAGCACGAAGGUUGGCUAAUCCUGGUCGGACAUCAGGAGGUUAGUGCAAUGGCAUAAGCCAGCUUGACUGCGAGCGUGACGGCGCGAGCAGGUGCGAAAGCAGGUCAUAGUGAUCCGGUGGUUCUGAAUGGAAGGGCCAUCGCUCAACGGAUAAAAGGUACUCCGGGGAUAACAGGCUGAUACCGCCCAAGAGUUCAUAUCGACGGCGGUGUUUGGCACCUCGAUGUCGGCUCAUCACAUCCUGGGGCUGAAGUAGGUCCCAAGGGUAUGGCUGUUCGCCAUUUAAAGUGGUACGCGAGCUGGGUUUAGAACGUCGUGAGACAGUUCGGUCCCUAUCUGCCGUGGGCGCUGGAGAACUGAGGGGGGCUGCUCCUAGUACGAGAGGACCGGAGUGGACGCAUCACUGGUGUUCGGGUUGUCAUGCCAAUGGCACUGCCCGGUAGCUAAAUGCGGAAGAGAUAAGUGCUGAAAGCAUCUAAGCACGAAACUUGCCCCGAGAUGAGUUCU
RNAcentral lists this ribosomal RNA (2175 nucleotides) under Salmonella enterica. Its description in RNAcentral is "bacterial LSU rRNA". It matches the Rfam family "Bacterial large subunit ribosomal RNA", at positions 657 to 2812 of the family's 2925-position model. The record is from RNAcentral. Lineage: Bacteria; Pseudomonadati; Pseudomonadota; Gammaproteobacteria; Enterobacterales; Enterobacteriaceae. RNAcentral also lists the same sequence under 1 other name.